This 433-nucleotide ribosomal RNA is filed under the name uncultured bacterium. RNAcentral's name for it is "partial 16S ribosomal RNA". It matches the Rfam family "Bacterial small subunit ribosomal RNA", at positions 29 to 507 of the family's 1533-position model. The record is from RNAcentral.
AAUGAACGCUGGCGGCAUGCCUAACACAUGCCAGUCGAACGAAGGCUUCGGCCCUAGUGGCGCACGGGUGCGUAACGCGUGGGAAUCUGCCCCUUGGUUCGGAAUAACAGUUAGAAAUGACUGCUAAUACCGGAUGAUGACGUAAGUCCCAAGAUUUAUCGCCGAGGGAUGAGCCCGCGUAGGAUUAGCUAGUUGGUGUGGUAAGAGCGCACCAAGGCGACGAUCCUUAGCUGGUCUGAGAGGAUGAUCAGCCACACUGGGACUGAGACACGGCCCAGACUCCUACGGGAGGCAGCAGUGGGGAAUAUUGGACAAUGGGCGAAAGCCUGAUCCAGCAAUGCCGCGUGAGUGAUGAAGGCCUUAGGGUUGUAAAGCUCUUUUACCCGGGAUGAUAAUGACAGUACCGGGAGAAUAAGCUCCGGCUAACUCCGUG